UAUGCGACCGGCGCACGGGUGAGUAACACGUAUCCAACCUGCCGAUGACUCGGGGAUAGCCUUUCGAAAGAAAGAUUAAUACCCGAUGGCAUAGUUCUUCCGCAUGGUAGAACUAUUAAAGAAUUUCGGUCAUCGAUGGGGAUGCGUUCCAUUAGUUUGUUGGCGGGGUAACGGCCCACCAAGACUACGAUGGAUAGGGGUUCUGAGAGGAAGGUCCCCCACAUUGGAACUGAGACACGGUCCAA
This 245-nucleotide ribosomal RNA is filed under the name uncultured bacterium. RNAcentral describes it as "partial 16S ribosomal RNA". It matches the Rfam family "Bacterial small subunit ribosomal RNA", at positions 88 to 334 of the family's 1533-position model. The record is from RNAcentral.